RNAcentral lists this ribosomal RNA (253 nucleotides) under uncultured bacterium. Its description in RNAcentral is "partial 16S ribosomal RNA". It matches the Rfam family "Bacterial small subunit ribosomal RNA", at positions 524 to 776 of the family's 1533-position model. The record is from RNAcentral.
UACGUAGGGGGCAAGCGUUGUCCGGAAUCAUUGGGCGUAAAGAGCGUGUAGGCGGCUAGAUAAGUCCGCUGUGAAAACUCGAGGCUCAACUUCGAGCUGUCGGCGGAAACUAUCUGGCUAGAGUCCGGAAGAGGAGAGUGGAAUUCCUGGUGUAGCGGUGAAAUGCGCAGAUAUCAGGAAGAACACCCGUGGCGAAGGCGGCUCUCUGGGACGGUACUGACGCUGAGACGCGAAAGCGUGGGGAGCGAACAGG